AGAUUGAACGCUGGCGGCAGGCCUAACACAUGCAAGUCGAGCGGCAGCACGGGUACUUGUACCUGGUGGCGAGCGGCGGACGGGUGAGUAAUGCCUAGGAAUCUGCCUGGUAGUGGGGGAUAACGCUCGGAAACGGAUGCUAAUACCGCAUACGUCCUACGGGAGAAAGCAGGGGACCUUCGGGCCUUGCGCUAUCAGAUGAGCCUAGGUCGGAUUAGCUAGUUGGUGGGGUAAUGGCUCACCAAGGCGACGAUCCGUAACUGGUCUGAGAGGAUGAUCAGUCACACUGGAACUGAGACACGGUCCAGACCUCCGUACGGGAGCAGCAGGUAGGGAAUUAGUUAGGAACAAGGUCGGGACGAAAGCCUAGACUCCGAGCCAUCGCCGCGUGUGUAGAAGAAGGUCGUACGGAUUAG
RNAcentral lists this ribosomal RNA (416 nucleotides) under uncultured soil bacterium. RNAcentral describes it as "bacterial SSU rRNA". It matches the Rfam family "Bacterial small subunit ribosomal RNA", at positions 26 to 426 of the family's 1533-position model. The record is from RNAcentral.